This is a long non-coding RNA of Chiroxiphia lanceolata (lance-tailed manakin), 907 nucleotides long. RefSeq lists it as uncharacterized. The record is from RefSeq and is a predicted model, not a curated record. The transcript is spliced from 3 exons. NCBI's taxonomy places the organism in Eukaryota, Metazoa, Chordata, Aves, Passeriformes, Pipridae.
UGCACUAAAAACUCAUGCUAAACAACUACAAGAGCGCAUAAUGACAACCCCCAGGCCCAGAAGAAGGGGUGCUCCACUGGGGAUGACCUGGUUAGAGGUAGCCCAAGAAUUGGUAACUACUGGUCGACAGUUGGGGGUCUCUGAUACAAGUAGUGUUAAGCAAAAAACAGAUAUCAGAAGGGUAGGAGAGAUCCGAAAACCACCUUUGCCAGGUAAUCGUCAGCAAAAUGCGACACCUGGUGAGCGAACAAGGUACAGUUUGUGGGUGGAGGGUAUCGAGGAAGGAAUUCCUCGAGAAGUGAUGGAUAAACUACCCACAACUAAUUUGGAACACUUGAUAAAGCAGUGGGAUAAGAUCAAAGAGCAUGAGUCACCCCCUGGGGGCAACCCUCCCCAGGAAUCCAACACUAUGAUUCCCUCAGCCCCACCAGAAAUCAAUUUAGCCAAUCCCGAGUUGGGAAACGGGACUCACCGCUCCCAGUAAGUGAGCCGGGGAGCGGUCAGUGGGUUUACAUGAGAAGGCUCACAGAAAACAACCAGGGAGAUAUGGUGAUCACUUUUCCUCUUGGCCCUUUUAAAUCUUUGGUUACAUUCGUGGUUGACACGGGUGCACAGGUCUCAGCACUCCAAACUGAAGCUGCUACCCAGUGUGGCAUUAAGCCAGACAAAAAAAAAAUAUGGGUAACUGAUGCCUUUGGCAAAUCCCAACCCCAAUACACUGCUCGAGUAAAAUGCUGGUUACCGGGAGAUGAGACAACCACAGAAACUAUCAUGAUUGUGGGACCACUACCAGCUAACAUCCUGGGGUUAGAUCUGUUAAAAGGGAGGGCCUGGACAGAUGCCAGAGGGAGAGAAUGGGUGUUUGGUCUCCCAUCCCUCUCUGUCUGUCUGAGUGUAUUUCUCUUCU